Molecule: long non-coding RNA, 824 nt
Filed under: Oryctolagus cuniculus (rabbit)
Lineage: Eukaryota; Metazoa; Chordata; Mammalia; Lagomorpha; Leporidae
Description: lncRNA (ENSOCUG00000035750.1)
Source: RNAcentral
UUCGACACUCACAAAACGAACGCCAGGGAAAUCAUCAAUUGGCUAGUGACCGGAGGGAGGUCAGUAAUGGUCGAGUCGAGGGCCGACAGUCUGGCUGUGAGACCGAGUUCUACUCUUGAGUAGGAGUAGCUUCAGGUACAGAGGAAAAAUAAUACAUUCUAUAGACAGUUAACUCAGCUGCUUCGACCUUUUUUUCCCCAAAGUUUUUUUUUUAAAGGAACAACAUUAAAAAAAAAAACACAAAACACCAUCGUUUCUCGGCCUUUUGGCUGAGAUCAAGUGUGUAAGAAACAAAACGCCCUCACCUUAGUAUCUGAAAGGGAAGGAAGCUGUGGUUGGCUCGAAUAGGGAGAAGGGGAAGCUGAAAUAGCAAGAUUCCAUUUUAAACUACCAGGACAGGAGCCAUGGUUGUCAUUUGCCUUCCUUCCUCCCAACACCCGACCAAUUCCUACUCAAAAUAACAGCUUUUGCAUAUGUAAAUCAGGGAGAUUAUGCUAAGAACCCCGGACUCUGCCCCACAGUGAAGUGUGUAACACACACGAUGACUUGGAUGAACGAGAGGGUCCACCAUUUGGAUUUCUGCAAUGGCCAUGACUUUAAUGAGCUCCAGGAGCCUGCAGCAAUGAGUACGCUCUUGCCUGUUUAUGUUCCAAAUCGAAUGGAAAGCUAAGAACAAACAUCCCACUAAAAGUACAUUUUCUAAAGGCAGAAAUUUCUUUGAACUGACGUCCUCAACAAAGGUGAGCACUGUUCCAGGAACCCCGAAACAGAUUCCCGGCACUUCCUGUGUGAGAACUGAAACACCUGACCAGCUGCACUGUUAA